RNAcentral lists this long non-coding RNA (1786 nucleotides) under Daucus carota (carrot). RNAcentral describes it as "long non-coding RNA (DCAR_LNC002722)". Lineage: Eukaryota; Viridiplantae; Streptophyta; Magnoliopsida; Apiales; Apiaceae. The record is from RNAcentral.
GAAGCUUGUAAUAUCUUUUAAUAUAUCAGAACAACAAAAUAUUCCAAGAAAAAAUAGUUUCACUAUUCCUUUUUAUGUUAUGUUCUAUAUUUUAUAUACUUAAACUAUACUAGAAUCCUAUAUACAAAAACAACAGAAUUAUCAUCAUCUCUAGAGCUCUGGUGCAUUGUUUUAAGUGCCAACCUAGCCUUCUCUCCAGAACCCCAUCCAUUGGCUAUGACACUCAUGUUCCUCAACUUGUCCUUGAGGUCCACAUUUGAGCGCAGAUACAACACACUCCGCUAAACUCUGGAUCUUUAAGGAUCGUACGCCACUUACCUGCACCAUGCUUUUUGACACCAGCCUUAAGAGCAGCUUCUUCUUCUGAGGUCCAUUUCUGCUUGGGGGCACCCAUUGGUUACAACUCAAAUCUGCGCUCCAGCCUCCAUUUAAGCAGGAAAUUGAUUUCUGCUAUAUUUUCUUGGCCUGCUCUUGUUUAAAACCUCGUCCUGCAGAGAAAAUCACAUAAGUUGUAUAAAGGAAUUUGGAAACAAUGAGUCAUAAAAUUAUCAUUUUUCUUGCCAAUCAUAGCCAUUAGAUACAUCUAAUCUUUUAUCUUGCAUAUAGUUAAAGACAAAAAAUAAUAACAAAUAUAUUUAAUAACUCAUAAUUUAUAAAUUUGUUAAAAAAGAAGGUGAGACUGGAUCCAGAAGAACCUCCAAUUUAUAACCUGUAAAAUAUUCCAAAUAAUUACACACGAUUGAUUACUGAUGUUGAUUCGGUUUUCAAAAGAGUGAGCACGUUUUCUUUGCUAUUUACAGCUGUUAGAAUCAUAGGACAACCUACAUUUACUUGACUGAUUAGUACAUUGGACAAACAUAAAGGUUCAAGAAAAUAGAUUGUAACAUUAUCAAAGAAGAAUGAAUACUUGUAAUAUAUAGUUGUAUCAUCUACUUAAUUGGAUUAGUAUCUUGAUUGAUCACAUGUAAUUUUAUAAAGGGUUGGUAUAUAUAAAUUCUAAACUACCAUCAAUUGAUAAUACAAUUACAGAACACAAUCCGAAGAGUUUAACAGAAUGAAGCAUAUGUCAUAUAUAAUUACAGAACACAAUCCUAAUUAACACAUAAUAUGAGAGUCAAUAAAAUAGUGAUACCUGUACAAACCGAGAUGAUUAUGUUCCACUAAUAAUUCCACGUAGUUUUCAUCACGAAGAAGAUGCAAGCAGAAGAUGUGUUUGAAAUUCAAGUUGUUCUAGAUGUGCAAAUAUCAGGCUGAAAAUCAGGACGGAGAAAUUGGAGAGUAAUUAAACACUAUCCACAGUAACUGAAACCCGAUUUAUGACCCAGAUAGAAUACGGGUUUAAUCAAAUAAAACGCAACUCUAGUACAAAUUAGCAAAUGGGUUAGGACCAAGUCAAGAAUGGAUAACCCACAGUGAUAAAAGCCAAAAAUGGACAAAAAAAAUAACUGCAAGUUUUGGAAACAAAGGAUAAUUUUGGUCAAUUACCAAAUCCUUUGCUAGCAGAGACAAUUUUUGAUCUUGGAAAAUUUUGAAUUGCCUUUCUGAGUAACUCAACUGACAGGCUCCGGCCUCCAUUUAAGAUUUUCUUUAUUGAUGGUAAACCAAUGGGUUUACCAGAACCCAUUGGUUCCCCCACUUGUCCUUGAGGUCCACAUUUGAGCACAGAUACAACACACCGCUAAACUCUGGAUCUUUAAGGAUCGUACGCCAUUUACCUCCAACAUGCUUUUUAACACCAGCCUUAAGAGCAGCUUCUUCUUCUGAGGUCCAUUUCUGCUUGGGGGCA